Molecule: ribosomal RNA, 253 nt
Filed under: uncultured bacterium
Lineage: Bacteria
Description: partial 16S ribosomal RNA
Rfam family: Bacterial small subunit ribosomal RNA
Source: RNAcentral
UACGUAGGGUGCAAGCGUUGUCCGGAAUUAUUGGGCGUAAAGAGCUCGUAGGCGGUUUGUCGCGUCGAAUGUGAAAACCCGGGGCUCAACUCCGGGCCUGCAUUCGAUACGGGCAGACUAGAGUUCGGUAGGGGAGACUGGAAUUCCUGGUGUAGCGGUGAAAUGCGCAGAUAUCAGGAGGAACACCGGUGGCGAAGGCGGGUCUCUGGGCCGAUACUGACGCUGAGGAGCGAAAGCUAGGGGAGCAAACAGG